CUGAGUAUGUAGCUCAGUGGUAGAGUGCUUGCCUGGCAUACAUGGGCUAGGUCCUGGGUUCUAUUCCCAGUACUGGGG
RNAcentral lists this transfer RNA (78 nucleotides) under Marmota monax (woodchuck). RNAcentral's name for it is "tRNA.Ala". The record is from RNAcentral. Lineage: Eukaryota; Metazoa; Chordata; Mammalia; Rodentia; Sciuridae.